AGAGUGUGUAGUACUUAGAAAUCAUCAGAUGUACACAUCACCUCCUGUGUAGCUUCAUUAGCCAUUAUGGAAGCCGUAGCUUCCAUAGCUAUUAUGGAACUGAUGCAUAGACAAGAUGUGGGCAUUUUUACCAUCAUGUCCUGAUGUACCAAGUGCACGGGUUUCAAACACCCUGUCACCCAGCCCUGCUCAGAGGCAUCAGAGCUCUCAAAGGGUAUUCCAAGGUUGCUUAAGACGAAAACUGCAGAAGUCUACAUAAAACAACUCAGAGAAAGCAGGUCACUGGCAGCCACUCAAAACGCAGACUCAGCCAGUGCACGCCGAGUGAUUCAUAACUUCAUCCUCUGCUACACAACAGACAUCACCAGGAAACCCAAGGCGAAAAUGCCCCGCAGCUAAACAAGUUCAACAGCUUCCGCUUAAGAGGUGCACAGGUACCAAGGGCAGGGGCUGGCAGGUGUUUUCGUAAAGACCAAAGUGAAGAUUACCACAGUCAAAAGGGCCACUACAGGAAGUUGCAAUGGUGAAGAAGUUAACUGGAAGGUGCUGUGAACAACUACCAGACCAGUGACCAACAAAACAAGACAGUGACACAAGAUCUCAUGCAGGUGUACAGGAUGCAGUAAUGCAGCAGGACAGGUGUCUGAACUCACCAAACAACAAACACAGCUACCUAGAUAUAGAAGCUGCUCAGCUACAGUAUAAAGCUAUAGUUCAUUUACUGUACCUUGCCUUCCUGGAUGGUGACAACGUCAGGCAAACCUCCAAGUAUCCGGGCACGAUCUGAAAAUACAUGAGUGAAGUUUCCUUUAAUGUCUGCAAAAAUAACUCUGUCCCAGAUUUCAUUUCCCCUCUAGCGCUGUUCUUUUAUCUUAUUUUUGUACAAGUCUCUGUACAGGCAAAUGAAGAGAGUUAUUCAGUAUUCCUAGCACACCAUUUGUACAUGUAAAAUCAUGUCACUCUGCUGCAAAAAGCAGAUAUCUUAAUAUCCUACUAUCAAUCACCUCCUCAGUGAAAUUAAAGUAUGGGCCUUACCCUUACCUCCACUGAAUUCAGUUUGAGUUUUGAGUGCACAAAGAAUGUAGAAUUGGGCCCGAUGUUUCUAAGUUUCCAAGGUAAAAGUCUAGCAAUUCAGAGCUUAUGAAAAGAGAUGAGUUGCAGCCUAUAGAAGAGACUCAGAAACCAGUGAAGUUUAGGCUUCUGAUCUAAAUAAAAACACAAAUUCUGAUCUCAGUUACACCAGUGUAAAAUCUGGAAUAAUUCCAUUGACUUCAGUGGAAUUCCUCUGGAUUUAUCCUGGUGUAAACAAAAUCAGAAUCUAGCCAUUUGUGUUUAGUUUCAAAAUCCUACCACAAUCCAAUAUAAGUAAAGUGACCCUAGCAGGCACAUUCUCUGCUGCAGCUAUUCCAGGAAGUGGAAUUCAGUCUUUGUUAGUAGUGGGGGAGCCAUCAAGAGCAGAAAGUGGCUACAUGGAAUACUCUCCCCUUCAACAUAGGUGCUCUUUCCCCUCUGUAAAAUAGGGACUUUAUGGAGAAAUUUGUUGAAGCCAGAAGUGGAAGGAGCAGGAGUGGGGAGCUAACCUAUACCCAGGGGUGUGCCUUCUCCCCACUAUCCAUGACCAUCCAAAGUCAGAGUCAAAGUACAGCUGAGGAACAUCUAGGGGCAGCACAUUUACUGGUCCUGUCAUACUGGUUUGGGUGUGUGUGGUGGUGGGGGUUGCAGCAGAGUUUGGAGGAACUGGCCAGGAUCUUUAGGGUUAGGGACCCCGAAUGCUGCAUACCAAUUCCUCUGCAUUGCCUUUUCAGACUCCAUCUUUGCCUACACUAUAUUUCUAUGCUAGUCCCAAACACGUAGAGAGGGGAGAUUUUGCUGAGAUGUUGCAUUAAUCUGUUCCACCCACGCACUUUUAAAUAGAAGGGAAAGCACGUAGAGCUUAAUCUUUGUAGUUAAU
This is a long non-coding RNA of Chelonia mydas (Green sea turtle), 1951 nucleotides long. RefSeq lists it as uncharacterized. NCBI's taxonomy places the organism in Eukaryota, Metazoa, Chordata, Testudines, Cheloniidae. The transcript has 4 exons. The record is from RefSeq and is a predicted model, not a curated record.